GUCUACAGCCAUACCACCCUGAACGCGCCCGAUCUCAUCUGAUCUCGGAAGCUAAGCAGGGUCGGGUCUGGUUAGUACUUGGAUGGGAGAGAGAGAGAGAGAAGGGAUUAUGGCUUUAAAUC
This is a non-coding RNA of Dipodomys ordii (Ord's kangaroo rat), 122 nucleotides long. NCBI's taxonomy places the organism in Eukaryota, Metazoa, Chordata, Mammalia, Rodentia, Heteromyidae. The record is from Rfam.